Molecule: ribosomal RNA, 473 nt
Filed under: uncultured bacterium
Lineage: Bacteria
Description: bacterial SSU rRNA
Rfam family: Bacterial small subunit ribosomal RNA
Source: RNAcentral
ACUCCUACGGGAGGCAGCAGUGGGGAAUAUUGCACAAUGGGGGAAACCCUGAUGCAGCCAUGCCGCGUGUGUGAAGAAGGCCUUCGGGUUGUAAAGCACUUUCAGUGGGGAGGAAGGUAGUGUAGUUAACACCUGCAUUAUUUGACGUUACCUACAGAAGAAGCACCGGCUAACUCCGUGCCAGCAGCCGCGGUAAUACGGAGGGUGCGAGCGUUAAUCGGAAUUACUGGGCGUAAAGCGCAUGCAGGCGGCCUGUUAAGUCAGAUGUGAAAGCCCGGGGCUUAACCUCGGAAUUGCAUUUGAAACUGGCAGGCUAGAGUCUUGUAGAGGGGGGUAGAAUUUCAGGUGUAGCGGUGAAAUGCGUAGAGAUCUGAAGGAAUACCAGUGGCGAAGGCGGCCCCCUGGACAAAGACUGACGCUCAGAUGCGAAAGCGUGGGGAGCAAACAGGAUUAGAUACCCUGGUAGGAUAGCG